CAGAGCUUAACUCUGGAACUGCCAUCAAAACUUUUUAGCUAGAGUGUGAUAGAGGAAAGCAGAAUUUCUAGUGUAGAGGUGAAAUUCGUAGAUAUUAGAAAGAAUACCAAUUGCGAAGGCAGCUUUCUGGAUCACUACUGACGCUGAGGAACGAAAGCAUGGGUAGCGAAGAGGAUUAGAUACCCUCGUAGUCCAUGCCGUAAACGAUGUGUGUUAGAUGUUGGAAAUUAAUUUUCAGUAUCGCAGCGAAAGCGUUAAACACACCGCCUGGGGAGUACGACCGCAAGGUUAAAACUCAAAUGAAUUGACGGGGACCCGCACAAGUAGUGGAGCAUGUGGUUUAAUUCGAAGAUACGCGCAGAACCUUACCAACACUUGACAUGUUUGUCGCGACUUCAAGAGAUUGAAGUCUUCGGUUCGGCCGGACAAAACACAGGUGCUGCAUGGCUGUCGUCAGCUCGUGUCGUGAGAUGUUGGGUUAAGUCCCGCAACGAGCGCAACCCUCACUUUUAGUUGCCAUCAUUUAGUUGGGCACUCUGAAAGAACUGCCAGUGAUAAGCUGGAGGAAGGUGGGGAUGACGUCAAGUCCUCAUGGCCCUUACGUGUUGGGCUACACACGUGCUACAAUGGCAUUUACAAUAGGAUGCAAAAUGGCGACAUUAAGCAAAUCCUAAAAAGAUGCCUCAGUUCGGAUUGUACUCUGCAACUCGAGUACAUGAAGCUGGAAUUACUAGUAAUCGCGGAUCAGCGCGCCGCGGUGAAUACGUUCCCGGGUCUUGUACACACCGCCCGUCACACCAUGGGAGUUGGUUCUACCUUAAGGCAAAGUUUAAAACCUUUGACCACGGUAUAGUCAGCGACUGGGGUGA
This 869-nucleotide ribosomal RNA is filed under the name marine metagenome. Its description in RNAcentral is "bacterial SSU rRNA". It matches the Rfam family "Bacterial small subunit ribosomal RNA", at positions 603 to 1483 of the family's 1533-position model. The record is from RNAcentral.